Molecule: long non-coding RNA, 643 nt
Filed under: Pongo abelii (Sumatran orangutan)
Lineage: Eukaryota; Metazoa; Chordata; Mammalia; Primates; Hominidae
Description: lincRNA
Source: RNAcentral
ACAGGGCACGGGGGCAAAACAGAGCCAUUCUGUGACAAACUCACCUCCCAAAGCCACUCAGGGCGGUUGGCUGCAACAGCAGCGACUCAGAGGGAAAGGCCACUGCACCAGCCCUCAGCUCGGGGACAAGGCGGUGAGAUGAUACCACAGGGCAUUCAGCCAGGGCCCCAGAUCAGGUGUGACGUGGAAACCAAGCAUUCUUCAGGGAAGGCCUGGCAGCAGAGACCCGACUUCUGGGCAGGCAGAGCAGUCAAGGCUGCCCAGCAGCUGCUGGUGGACCCUGGGAAACCAGCUGGGGCUGCACAGGGCCCUCCUCUCCCGCCGAGCUGAUGGAACACAUAUGUCACCUCCUCCUGAGGAUGCGGCCCAGAUGGAAAUCACUCCUGGCUGCCCAAACGGAGACCCGGUGCCUCUGGUCAUGUCCACAUCUCGUCCAACGCUUCCGCCGCCACCAAGUCUGGAAAGAGCUGCUCUUAUCUCAGGCUACCCACUUCCACUCCACGCCCCUCCCUGUCCCAGCUCUUGGAAUGAGCGCCAGCUUCCUAGAAGUGGAGUGUACCUCAUUCCCGAACAGGCCCUCUGUCUGGAACGUGCCUCUUCUCGCUCCCUGAGUCAUCAAUAAAUCUGUCUCACUUUGUCCUGA